AACGUACGCUGGCGGCACGCCUAACACAUGCAAGUCGAACGAAGUAGCAAUACUUAGUGGCAGACGGGUGAGUAACAUGUGGGUAUCUGCCCUUUGGCCUGGAAUAACACGAGGAAACUUGUGCUAAUACCGGAUAAGUCUUUACGGAGAAAGCUUUAUGCACCAUUGGAUGAGCCCGCACUUGAUUAGUUUGUUGGUGGGGUAAUGGCCUACCAAGACUGUGAUCAAUAGCUGAUUUGAGAGGAUGAUCAGCCACAUUGGGACUGAGACACGGCCCAAACUCCUACGGGAGGCAGCAGUGGGGAAUCUUGCACAAUGGAGGAAACUCUGAUGCAGCGAUGCCGCGUGAGUGAAGAAGGCCCUUGGGUUGUAAAGCUCUUUCGUCGGGGAAGAAAAUGACUGUACCCGAAUAAGAAGGUCCGGCUAGCUUCGUGCCAGCAGCCGCGGUAAUACGAAGGGACCUAGCGUAGUUCGGAAUUACUGGGCUUAAAGAGUUCGUAGGUGGUUGAAAAAGUUAGUGGUGAAAUCCCAGAGCUUAACUCUGGAACUGCCAUUAAAACUUUUCAGCUAGAGUAUGAUAGAGGAAAGCAGAAUUUCUAGUGUAGAGGUGAAAUUCGUAGAUAUUAGAAAGAAUACCAAUUGCGAAGGCAGCUUUCUGGAUCAUUACUGACACUGAGGAACGAAAGCAUGGGUAGCGAAGAGGAUUAGAUACCCUCGUAGUCCAUGCCGUAAACGAUGUGUGUUAGACGUUGGAAAUUUAUUUUCAGUGUCGCAGGGAAACCGAUAAACACACCGCCUGGGGAGUACGACCGCAAGGUUAAAACUCAAAUGAAUUGACGGGGACCCGCACAAGUAGUGGAGCAUGUGGUUUAAUUCGAAGAUACGCGCAGAACCUUACCAACACUUGACAUGUUCGUCGCGACUCUAAGAGAUUAGAGUUUUCGGUUCGGCCGGACGAAACACAGGUGCUGCAUGGCUGUCGUCAGCUCGUGUCGUGAGAUGUUGGGUUAAGUCCCGCAACGAGCGCAACCCUCACUUUUAGUUGCCAUCAUUAAGUUGGGCACUCUGAAAGAACUGCCAGUGAUAAGCUGGAGGAAGGUGGGGAUGACGUCAAGUCCUCAUGGCCCUUACGUGUUGGGCUACACACGUGCUACAAUGGUAUCUACAACAGGAAGCAAGACUGCGAAGUUAAGCAAAUCCCUAAAAGAUACCUCAGUUCGGAUUGCACUCUGCAACUCGAGUGCAUGAAGCUGGAAUUACUAGUAAUCGUGGAUCAGCGUGCCACGGUGAAUGCGUUCCCGGGUCU
This 1306-nucleotide ribosomal RNA is filed under the name uncultured bacterium. RNAcentral describes it as "bacterial SSU rRNA". It matches the Rfam family "Bacterial small subunit ribosomal RNA", at positions 28 to 1381 of the family's 1533-position model. The record is from RNAcentral.